RNAcentral lists this long non-coding RNA (202 nucleotides) under Lathyrus oleraceus (garden pea). RNAcentral describes it as "Pisum sativum (pea) long non-coding RNA (PSAT_LNC015235)". The record is from RNAcentral. Lineage: Eukaryota; Viridiplantae; Streptophyta; Magnoliopsida; Fabales; Fabaceae.
GGAUGGUGUCUGAGGGUCAGAUUCAGCAUGAGGGAUCUGGUCAACAUAAUUCUCAUAGUCAUUACAAAUCUCAUAAUCCUGGAUGGAUUCAGUGGAUCUAGCAGGAGUUGGGGUUUCAUUCAGGUUAUAGAGCCAGUUCCUUUGGUUAUGAACACUAGUCCUAGGAUCGGGCAUGGUGAAUAGGCAGAGAACCUGGUUAUCA